CACGCAGGCGGUCCGUUAAAUAAGGAGUGAAAGCCCUGGGCUCAACCCGGGAAUUGCUCUUUAGACUGGCGGACUUGAAUCCGGAAGAGGGCAGUGGAAUUCCCAGUGUAGAGGUGAAAUUCGUAGAUAUUGGGAAGAACACCAGUGGCGAAGGCGACUGCCUGGUCCGGCAUUGACGCUCAUGUGCGAAAGCGUGGGGAGCAAACAGGAUUAGAUACCCUGGUAGUCCACGCCGUAAACUAUGAGUGCUAGUUGUUGGGGUGCAUGCACCUCAGUGACGCAGCUAACGCAUUAAGCACUCCGCCUGGGGAGUACGGCCGCAAGGUUAAA
Molecule: ribosomal RNA, 330 nt
Filed under: uncultured bacterium
Lineage: Bacteria
Description: bacterial SSU rRNA
Rfam family: Bacterial small subunit ribosomal RNA
Source: RNAcentral